RNAcentral lists this ribosomal RNA (433 nucleotides) under uncultured bacterium. Its description in RNAcentral is "partial 16S ribosomal RNA". It matches the Rfam family "Bacterial small subunit ribosomal RNA", at positions 29 to 507 of the family's 1533-position model. The record is from RNAcentral.
AACGAACGCUGGCGGCAUGCCUAACACAUGCAAGUCGAACGAGACCUUCGGGUCUAGUGGCGCACGGGUGCGUAACGCGUGGGAACCUGCCCUUAGGUUCGGAAUAACUCCCCGAAAGGGGUGCUAAUACCGGAUAAUGUCUUCGGACCAAAGAUUUAUCGCCUUUGGCUGGGCCCGCGUUGGAUUAGCUAGUUGGUAGGGUAAAAGCAUACCAAGGCGACGAUCCAUAGCUGGUCUGAGAGGAUGAUCAGGCACACUGGGACUGAGACACGGCCCAGACUCCUACGGGAGGCAGCAGUGGGGAAUAUUGGACAAUGGGCGAAAGCCUGAGCCAGCAAGGCCGCGUGAGUGAUGAAGGCCUUAGGGUUGUAAAGCUCUUUUACCCGGGAUGAUAAUGACAGUACCGGGAGAAGAAGCUCCGGCUAACUCCGUG